UACGUAGGGGGCAAGCGUUGUCCGGAAUCAUUGGGCGUAAAGCGCGCGUAGGCGGCCCGGUAAGUCCGCUCUGAAAGUCCAGGGCUUAACCCUGGAAAGCGGGUGGAUACUGCCGGGCUUGAAUCCGGAAGAGGAGAGUGGAAUUCCUGGUGUAGCGGUGAAAUGCGCAGAUAUCAGGAAGAACACCCGUGGCGAAGGCGGCUCUCUGGGACGGUACUGACGCUGAGACGCGAAAGCGUGGGGAGCGAACAGG
RNAcentral lists this ribosomal RNA (253 nucleotides) under uncultured bacterium. RNAcentral's name for it is "partial 16S ribosomal RNA". It matches the Rfam family "Bacterial small subunit ribosomal RNA", at positions 524 to 776 of the family's 1533-position model. The record is from RNAcentral.